CCUGCAAGGAAGUAAAUUUUGAGUUUGAUGAUUAAACAUUAAGGGUAUCUGUUAUUCGUUGCAUUUCAGUGUGCAGGAAUGUAUCUAUCGAUCGGAUAUAAGUCCCUAACAACAAAAAUACAACCACAAAGCAAGAAUUUUGGAGUUAGCAUGAACUGCAGUGUGUAUGAGUAACCAGUAAACAUCAAGUAUAGUGUUUGAUUGUUUAAAUGUGUGUUACUUGUAAAUAUUCAGUAUUUAGCAAUCACUUGAUAUCAAUUUUAAACUACUGGGUGUGAUUGGUUAAAUGUGUCUUGCUUGUAUGAUAAUCUGCUUUCUUUAGACAUUCUAACAUGUUAUUGAACUGUCAACUAUAACUAUGAUAAUCUGUAGCCACUUAAAACUAUGGUAUAGUGUUGGUAUUCCUCUAUUCUUGUAAAUGUGAGGUCUUAGAUUCGAAUCUAGUGAACGAGUUCAAUACUAGUUUAUUUCUUUCACUCCUUGGUGUAAACAUAUAUAAAGCAUGAGUUGCGAUAUGUGUGUGUGUGUGUGUCCUUGGUGUAAACAUAUAUAGAGCAUGAGUUAUGAUAUAUAUAUAUAUAUAUAUAUAUAUAUAUCUGUGUGUGUGUGUGUGUGGGCACACACGUGUGCGCGUGCACACAUGUAUGACUAUAAUUUCAUUUAAACACAUAAAACUGACACACUCUUGUAAUAAUAGAGUUGAAGAAGAUGCAUUAUCUUAUGUGUGGGUGUGUGUGUUUUAAUAUUUUAAUUUUUAAUUUUUUGGUAUUCUCAACAAUAGGGACACAAAUUUGAGGACUCAAUGUGCCACUGUAAUUAGAUUAACGAUAAAUGGUUGAGGAUGCGCAUAUUAUCAUCUAAAUAUGAUCUAAUGGUUGAAACAUAAACCUUCAAGUGUCAGCUAAAGUAUCUAUUUAGUUUUAGAAUAUCAAGGUGUGUUUAUUUGUCUACGAGCGCAUAAAUAAAACCUACAAAAAUAUGCUAAUGUCUGUGUUCUGUGCUCAUCUCCAGAGCCAUAUAGAAAAGAGAGGCAGAUUUUUUAAGCUCGAAGGAUCAUGAAUUUACAGCAUGUGUUAUAGUUCAAUCCAAAUAUGUUGACAAAAACUAGCUGCAUUCAUAUAUAGUCAUUGAAAAAUUGAGGAACUAUUAAAAGUUGUAUAUGCAAUACUAAAGAUCUUACACAAAUGAGUUCGGUUAAGGACCUAAUGUUAGAAUUUUUUUAACAUCAACUCAAAAUCAAUUGACAACGGAUAAAAUGAUUAAAGAUCAUCAUUAAUUUAUAUGCAAUACUCGCAACACAUAAUUUAUUUAUGUUAAAAAUCGUCACGUAUAUUGUUGAUGCAUCAUUAAUUGAUAUUAAACCUAUCGUUUACAAUGCAUUUUGCACAGGUUUCCAGUCAUUAAAAGAUAAUUUUUCUUGAUAUACGAACUUUACGUACGGUAUGCAUAGACUAAUAUAAAUGUUUCUAAUUUACUAAUGCAAAUUUCACUCGAGUUUUGCAUGAUAUUUAUGGUGAAAUUCGAAUUUUUCAGAAGAGCAAUUAACCUUUGACCUGUCAGCUACCAUCCCAUCGCAGGGUUUUGAAAUCGCACCUUCAGAUGCUAGUUCAGAAGAUGGUAGAUUUGAAAAGGUUCGGUGCUCCAUCGAAAUAAGGGAAGAAUACAUGUUCGAAUUUCCGCAAAGCUUGAGUUUGGAUGAAUAUUCAAAUGAAUAAAAGAGAAGAGGGAGUGAAUGCAAAUAUUUGUAUGAAUGAAUGAAUAUAUUGAAGAGGAAGAACAAAAAUUAACAAAGAAUGAAUAAAAGGUAAAAAUAGAUUUGUGGAUA
Molecule: long non-coding RNA, 1825 nt
Organism: Pyrus x bretschneideri (Chinese white pear)
Lineage: Eukaryota; Viridiplantae; Streptophyta; Magnoliopsida; Rosales; Rosaceae
Exons: 2
Source: RefSeq, a predicted model, not a curated record